AACGAACGCUGGCGGCAGGCUUAACACAUGCAAGUCGAGCGCCCCGCAAGGGGAGCGGCAGACGGGUGAGUACCGCGUGGGAACGUACCUUUUGGUUCGGAACAACUCCGGGAAACUGGAGCUAAUACCGGAUAAGCCCUAACGGGGAAAGAUUUAUCGCCGAAAGAUCGGCCCGCGUCUGAUUAGCUAGUUGGUGAGGUAACGGCUCACCAAGGCGACGAUCAGUAGCUGGUCUGAGAGGAUGAUCAGCCACACUGGGACUGAGACACGGCCCAGACUCCCACGGGGGGGAGCAGGGGGGAAAUUGGGACAAGGGGCGCAAGCCUGAUCCACCCAUGCCGGGGGGGGGAUUAAGGCCUUAGGGUUGUAAAGCUCUUUUGUCCGGGAAGAUAAUGCCGUGCCCGGAAAAAAAACCCCCGGCAAAUUUCGG
RNAcentral lists this ribosomal RNA (430 nucleotides) under uncultured bacterium. RNAcentral's name for it is "partial 16S ribosomal RNA". It matches the Rfam family "Bacterial small subunit ribosomal RNA", at positions 29 to 506 of the family's 1533-position model. The record is from RNAcentral.